This 78-nucleotide transfer RNA is filed under the name bacterium. Its description in RNAcentral is "tRNA-Arg". It matches the Rfam family "tRNA". From Rfam's summary of the family: Transfer RNA (tRNA) molecules are approximately 80 nucleotides in length. Their secondary structure includes four short double-helical elements and three loops (D, anti-codon, and T loops). The record is from RNAcentral.
GCGCCUGUAGCUCAGUCUGGAUAGAGCAUCGGAUUUCUAAUCCGACGGUCGCAGGUUCGAAUCCUGCCGGGCGCGCCA